RNAcentral lists this unclassified non-coding RNA (65 nucleotides) under Vibrio rotiferianus. RNAcentral's name for it is "STnc490". It matches the Rfam family "STnc490 Hfq binding RNA", at positions 1 to 65 of the family's 124-position model. The record is from RNAcentral. Lineage: Bacteria; Pseudomonadati; Pseudomonadota; Gammaproteobacteria; Vibrionales; Vibrionaceae.
AACCCCCAGCUAGGCUGGGGGUUCCGUAGAGCUUACAGCUAUAAGUCAGUUAUAUAACCCCUUUC